This 550-nucleotide ribosomal RNA is filed under the name uncultured bacterium. RNAcentral describes it as "bacterial SSU rRNA". It matches the Rfam family "Bacterial small subunit ribosomal RNA", at positions 355 to 896 of the family's 1533-position model. The record is from RNAcentral.
UAGGGAAUCUUCGGCAAUGGGGGGAACCCUGACCGAGCAACGCCGCGUGAGUGAAGAAGGUUUUCGGAUCGUAAAGCUCUGUUGUUAAGGAAGAACGAGUGUGAGAAUGGAAAGUUCAUACUGUGACGGUACUUAACCAGAAAGGGACGGCUAACUACGUGCCAGCAGCCGCGGUAAUACGUAGGUCCCGAGCGUUGUCCGGAUUUAUUGGGCGUAAAGCGAGCGCAGGCGGUUAGAUAAGUCUGAAGUUAAAGGCAGUGGCUCAACCAUUGUAGGCUUUGGAAACUGUUUAACUUGAGUGCAGAAAGGGAGAGUGGAAUUCCAUGUGUAGCGGUGAAAUGCGUAGAUAUAUGGAGGAACACCGGUGGCGAAAGCGGCUCUCUGGUCUGUAACUGACGCUGAGGCUCGAAAGCGUGGGGAGCGAACAGGAUUAGAUACCCUGGUAGUCCACGCCGUAAACGAUGAGUGCUAGGUGUUAGACCCUUUCCGGGGUUUAGUGCCGUAGCUAACGCAUUAAGCACUCCGCCUGGGGAGUACGACCGCAAGGUUG